UGUUCGAUGGAUGGAACACCGGCCCCCAUCUUGGCCCUUUUCGAAUAUUGUUAGAUUUGAUCAUCCUCUAAUCUCUGUUGAACCAUCUAUGCCCUAGUUCGAGCAUGAUUUGAUGAAUUUCAUCUUGAUCGGACAGACCGGAGUGUUGGGUACUCUCGCUUGGUCAGCCCUAGGAGGAUGUUGGAAUUUAAAAUUUUUAUUUUUAAAACAAUAAUUAUGAUAAAAUUUUAAUAAAAAAUCUAAUUUUUGGAUAUUGGGCUCUAAAAUUUUUUUUGAGAUCAAUUAGAUGUAUUACUUGGAUUGCAUUUGCAAGGUAAGUGAUGUUUCACUUUUUCUAAAUUUAUCAGCAGUUAUUAAAUUGUUAUAUUCAUAACUUUUGAGUGGUCUUAUUCAUGAUGCAUGGAUUUGAUGGAUAGUAUAUUACAGAAUAUAUUAUUUUGAAAUAUUAAGAUGAUAUAUGAUCUUAUUAUGCAUAUGAUUGAUUGAAUUUGACACCGCAUGAUUUUAAAAUUGAAAUAUGAAAUUUAGAACUAUCUGAAUUUCGAUCUGGUUAUGUUGAGGAUCCUGCCAAUAGGGGUUAAUACAUUUAUACAUGAUUUGCCCUAAAAGUUGUGUUUAAGAUGAAGAGCGACAUACCGCAAGCAGAUAUGCGGUCUUGAAGGACUUUGCUGCAAGAUGAUGCGUAGCUUACUGCAAGAAGAUUAGCCAUUGUUAUGAUCCUACCACAGGAAAAGAUGUGGUCAUAGCUCAAAAUUAAUAAGAUGAAUUGAAUAUUUGAAAGAAUUUGAAUUCAUGAACAAAAAUUUAUUAUUUUAAAAAAGAUUUGAUUCAUAUAUUAGUACUGCAUAUAUGCUUAUUUUCUGCAAAUUAUUAUCUAUUUGAUUACCUGAUUUAUUUGGCUAAAGUGAUCAUUGCUUACUGAACUGUCUAGCUCAUUAUACGAUUUUUUAUUUUUUAUAGAUUCAGAGAACUAGCCUGAUCAUGGUUUUCAAUAUAGGAGAGCGACUAGCAGAUGCACAAAUUAUCUUAGAUUAGGAUUUAUUUAAAUUGAUGUACUAUCCUAGAAUAUUAUUAGAAUCAUGAGAUAUUUAAAUAUUAAGCUAUGCAUAUUAUUAUUUAAAUUAUUCCGCUACAUACUUAUGAUAUCAUAUUGAGAUGCCUUAUAUAUUUGUUGGGAACCUCCAGUUCGUGAACUCAGGUUGGGGACGUGACAGAAUGGUAUAAGAGGGGACCUGGCCUGUGACGUAUAUGGACUAGAAAAACUGCAAUAUGGAUUUAUGGAGGCUGACCACGAGCCGUUCGUGGUGCUCGUGACUAGAUUUGAAUGAAUUUGAACCCUUAGCCUAGCAAGGUCACCAAGGCUUAAACGGAAGGAACAUGUGAGGACUCGUGUGAGCGCGUGUUUAAUCCUAUAUCGGUUAUUCCCUAGGUCGAUCUUGGAUACUUAUAUAGGAUCAAAGAACCUAAAUAAUACCUUCCGGCUAGCUUUUUUAGGUGAGAUUCUGAGUUGUUACAAAUGGUAUCAAAGCAUAAGUGGAUAAAAUUCUAAGACAAGAAAAUCUGGCAUAGGAUGAGUGUAGGUGGGUAGACACUAGAGAGUAGAGAUAUUGGGACGUAAAUCUAUGUCGAUUGCAUUGUAAGCUACUUUAAAGAUUUUCUAUUUAGCCUUUGCGAUUAUGUAUGAAAAGGUUACCAAGGAAUUAUGAUAAAAUUUAUUUAUAAGGUUUGACACAUGAUGGAAGGUUGGGCAAUCUAGGAAUCAAAUUAUAUUUAGUUAGAUUUGGAUCUAAAUUAAGUGCAAGAGGAUUGACCAUGGAAUAUUAUCAUGCAUUGUGAUUAUUUGUUAUUUAAGUCAACUUGGAAACUCAAAAAUUGAUAUGGAGGUAACUGUGAUAUUGCUUGAUUUUGAAGAAAAAUUCCAGGGGCAAAUUAAGAUCCAUUCAUACAAAGUUGUUUAAGAUUUCGGCUAUGAAAAAUUUUUAUGGUACCCAAUUGGAAUAUUCUUCGAGGUUUGAAUCUGUGUUUGGAUUAUGAAUGAAACUAGCAUGUAGAAGAAAAAUAUGCAAAAAGGUUAUUUUCUUAUUGAAGAAUUAAUUUUAUUUUGAGAUUAUAAAGUAUUCAUCUUGGUAGAAUUAUUAAUAAUUUUUAUCACCAUCUUUGGAUCCAAAUAAUAUAUCUGAUUUGUCUAUUGGAGACUGUGGUGUGUAAUAAACUUCAAUUCAAAGUUUGGUUUGUUAAGUUGAUCUAGGAAUCUUUUGCCAAUAUUGUUGAGGUUGCGGAUGAAAUCUAGUUUUGCAUGAAGAAUUUGAAAUUUUAAGUCUUGCAUGAUUAUCAUAGAAGAUUUUUCAUAAAUGCUAAAGAUCUCGAUAAUGAAACUUUAGGAGAGAUGAUUGAGUCGGUUUACUCAUUCGUGUUGAUUUAAAGCCUUCUAGUUUGGUGGAGCAUUAAGAAAAUUCUUUUAGUUGUUUUUACUUGUAAGAGUUUGACCUGAAAUCGUCUAGUUAAAUUGACAAGAGAAUUAAGAUUUAACUCAUAUUUGAAUUAUAGUAACUAGCCUACAUGAUGGUUUUGAAUGUAUCAAUUAACUCGAGGGUUAAUCUAGAUGGAUGCGCUCGAGGUAAAUUAGGAGACGAGAAUCAAAAGUUUCUUUUUGGGCUUUACUUGGAAAUUCAAAUUUUUGAUCAGUUUAGUGCAUAAUACAAAGUAGUAUUUUGAUCAAAAGUUAUUAGUGAAUCCAAAGAAUUUUGAUGGUUUGAAUCAAGGUAUGCUGAACUGGUACCGGUAGGCGUACCGGUUGCCUACCGGACCGGUUUGAGACCGGUUCGUACCGGAACCGGUCCGGUAGGAACCGGGCCCUUUUUUUUCGGUUCACGUCCACGCAUGGACUUGGGUCGAUAAGGCCACAGAGUUUCUAUCUGACACUAAUAAACAUUAAUAUUGGUAUUGGUUAUUCGUCAAUCCCAACUCAAUAAAUNNNNNNNNNNNNNNNNNNNNNNNNNNNNNNNNNNNNNNNNNNNNNNNNNNNNNNNNNUUCAUUGAUCAUUACAUGGAAUUCAGUUAAGAUAUUGUAUAAAAAUGAAAUUCCUUGUAUUCUCAUUUGAGAAUGGAAGGAAGGAUUUUUAUUUGGGAGAGUUUGAAGAAAAAAAAAGAUUUUUUGACUUAUCUUUUUUUUCCUUAUAAAAAAAACUCAAUCAGAAUAAAAUUUUCUAAUCCACAAGAACGAAAUUUUGUUAUGUUUAAUAUCUUUAGUUUAAUCUGCAUCUAUCUUAACUCUGUCUUUUAUUCGCAUAGUUUUUUCUUCACCAAAUUGCCCGAAGCUUAUGCCUUUUUAAAUCCAAUCAUAAAUGUUAUGCCUGUCAUACCUGUACUUUUUUUUCUCUUAGUCUUUGUUUGGCAAGCCGCUGUAAGUUUUCGAUGAUUUAUUUGAUAAAUAAAAAUUCAAAAAAUUGAUAAGACUAGAUAAGUCUUAUAUUAUGAACCCUCGAUUCAAAAAUAGAAAUUCUUGUAUAUUGAAUAACCAGUGCGGGGAAUCGCGCCCGUGCGGGGUGCUCUGCCUCGAGGGAGUGCGUGGCCCGAAUGACACCACAGCCUGCGCGCUGUGAUUAAAAAAAAAUGAUAUCGGUGCCAACCACCUGGUUCGCACUGGUACAUCACCAGUACACGAUCGGUAUCGACCAGUACGGCAGUCGUACCGGUCGGUUCUCUAACGAUAAGCUUCCGGUACUGGAUUGCACACUGAUCCGGUACCGAUCCCAGCCUGGACCGGUUCGUACGGGCCCGUACCGGCUGGUGCGGGCCGGUACGGCAUACCCUAGUCUCAAUCAUAGUGCACAGCAAAACAUAGUGGUCUGAAUUAUUUUUCUAAGUUGGUCAGAGGUAUUAUUUUUUUUGAUUCGACAAGUUUUAAUAAUAAAGGACUUAAUCUGUUUUUUAUAUAGUAGGAUUUUCUUGUUAAAUGAAAGGACAAUGUUUUGAUUUUUGGAUGUCGCCGUAUUAUCUUAGGUUCUCCAAUUUUAUGCUGUGCUAAGAAAAUUCUUAGCAUCUUGAGACUAGAAUUAGUGGAUUAUCGAUUUUUGAACUUGGUGCUGGAAUAUUUUGGUGUAGACCUCUUUCCUUCUAAAUCUGAAGCUUGUACUUCAAUUAAUAUCAACCCUCUAUUUGAUUGAAAGCAAGGGUGCAAAUGGGUCGGGUCGGACCGAGUCACGAGUGAUCCCGACCCAACCCGGUUUCUUGUUUGGGUUCUAAUGUUAGACGCGAACCUAACCCAAUGGGUCAUUCGGGUUUGGUUGGAUCGGGUCCACGGCUACAAUUUUUGACCCAAGAGGUCAUUCGGGUCGGAUUGAGUCUAUGUAUAAUCCGGUCCCAAUCCAAAAUAUUUGGGUCCAGUUCGGGUCUGAGUCAAGUUCGGUUCGGAUUGUUGGGUAAAUGAUCAGCACUUUACUGCACCAGAGAAAGCUUACAACUCACCUUUACGACACCAAGCAUAUCAUUCUCUAACUUUCCAUCAGCACUUUCAGAGAUUGCUGACUGAAGGUUUGACUGAUCAAGAAACCUUAAAAUUGAAUUUUCAUCCCACACGAUCUUUGUGCAUCCAUCAGUGCAUUUAUCCUGGUAUACAGCAUCAAUUUUGCUGCUAGAAGAUUCUUUUGGAUCUUGCCCAUCUACAGCAUCACAGUCAUUGAAAAGUUCUUCUGUUCCCCAUCUAAGAAUGUCCUCCACUUCCUUUUGAGAUUCUGACUUGUUCAUGAAUGGUUGGCCAAGCAUCAGUUUCUUCUUAGCAAGCUGCAAGAUGGCUCCUCGACACUAGCACGUACCACGAACCUGUACACCAGAAGCCUGUUUGAUUGCCCAAGUCUAUGUGCUCUAUUCAUUGCUGGUACAUCAGCAUGUGGAUUGAAAUCUGAAUCAUAUAUAAUGACAGUAUCUGCUGUGGCCAGAUUUAUCCCAAGGCCACAAGAGCGUGCGGAUGAUAAGAAUACAAAUCGAGUUUUGUCCUGAUUAAAACGAGCAAUUGCUGCUUGACGAUCAACCACUGACACUGAACCAUCCACUCUUUCAAAUGUCUUAGGACUGAAUUCUAUAGUCAGAUAAUCCUCAAGUAUAUCAAGAAGUUUUGUCAUUUGAGAAAAUAUGAGGACACAAUGCCCAUCCUUACGUAAAAUCUUGAGCAUAGAAUGCAGUAAUGUUAGCUUGGCUGAUGCCUUUAUGCGCAUUUUAUGGAUAAUUCGGGUUCGGGUAGUAGGUCAACCCGACCCAUUUGCAGCCUUAAUUGAAAGAGAUUGAGGUUACUAUCGACCUUAAUGAAUAUUCUAUUAGGGAUGGAUUGAAGUUGUUUAUGAUCUAAUGUUGUGAUAGAUCGAUUAAUCAAGAGCAGUUGAUAUAUUGACAAAGAAACUUGACAUUCUUAUUUAGAAUUAAGAUGUUGAUUUUCGUUUAUAAGAGAGAAGUUUGAUUUACAUCAUCUACAAAAAGAAUCAAGUUUGGAGGUAUAUGACCUUAUUCUUAUGAUAAGAACUAAUGAUGAAGUUGUGCUGAUAAACAGAAUUUUUAGAAACUUGAGGAUGAGAUUGGAACUAUGUAUCUCUAACUUUUUGAAAGCGCAAGGAAAGAAAAUUUUGGGGACGGAAUUUUUUUAGGGGGAGAAAAUGUGAUACCAAGUAUCUGAGCCCGAUCCAUUUGACCAGCCCAGAGUAUCUGGCCCAAAGGAGUUGGCCCAACCAAUUGAUGCACGUGCGUGGCACGUGUGAGGGAAGAGGUCUCUCGAUGGGAGUCUUCUUCCUCUUGAGUUCGGCGGACAGAAUUCGACUCCAGGUUGGAUUUUGAUUGCGGCCGAGCGCUAUUUAGAGCUCCUCCCUCAUCCCUUUUCCACCGCAUCAGAUAGCCCAAGUUCCCAAUCAACAGUCGCCCGAAUUCCAUGAUUUUCUCCUCGAAUGCCAACCACUUUUGAUGCCGUUGUUGCUACCAACUGUCGCCGGAAGCUAGGUAAGAAUCCGACAACCUUUAGUUGGCCUCUCUCUCCUUCUUUUGUGGUCCUUGAAAGCCCUGAUUCCGGCCAGGGAUCAUCCGAUUUUAUGUCAAGAAUCGGUGCUCUAUUUUUUCUAUUUUUCUUUGGAUUUUUUCGAUUUCAUUCCUUCUUUCCGAUCUGAUUGACCACUUCUCGAUCUCUGUUGAACCAUCUGUACCCUAGUCCGAGCAUAAUUCGAUGAAUUUCACUUUGAUCAGACUGACUGGAGUGUUGGACACUCCCGCUUGAUUAGCCCUGUGAGGAUGAUAGAAUUUAAGAUUUUUAUUUUUUAAAAAAAUAAUUCUGAUGAAAUUUUAAUGAAAAAUAUAAUUUUUGGAUAUAGGGUCCGAGAAGGAUUUUUGAGAUUAAUUAGAUCUGUUAGUUAGAUUGCGUUCUUAGGGUAAGUAAUAUUUCACUUUUUUUAAAUUUAUUAGUAAUUAUUAAAUUAUUAUAUUCAUGACUUUUGAGUAGUAUUAUUCAUGAUGCAUGAAUUUGAUGGAUAGUAUAUUACGGAAUAUGUUAUUUUGGAAUAUUGUGAUUGAUUGAUUAAUUUUGAGACCGCAUGAUUUUAGAACUGAAAUAUGAAAUCUAGAACUAUUUGAAUUUCGACCUAGCUAUGUUAAGGACUCCGCCAAUGAGGCCUAAUACGUUGGUAUAUGAUUUGUCCUAAAGGUUGUGUCCAAGAUG
This 6691-nucleotide long non-coding RNA is filed under the name Phoenix dactylifera (date palm). RNAcentral's name for it is "long non-coding RNA (PDAC_LNC002008)". The record is from RNAcentral. Lineage: Eukaryota; Viridiplantae; Streptophyta; Magnoliopsida; Arecales; Arecaceae.